GAGUUUGAUCAUGGCUCAGAUCGAUCGCUGGCGGCAUGCCUUACACAUGCAAGUCGAACGGUAACAGGUCUUUCGGGAUGCUGACGAGUGGCGAACGGGUGAGUAAUACAUCGGAACGUGCCCAGUAAUGGGGGAUAGCUCGGCGAAAGCCGGAUUAAUACCGCAUACGCCCUGAGGGGGAAAGUGGGGGACCGCAAGGCCUCACGUUAUUGGAGCGGCCGAUGGCUGAUUAGCUAGUUGGUAGGGUAAAGGCCUACCAAGGCGACGAUCAGUAGCUGGUCUGAGAGGACGAUCAGCCACACUGGGACUGAGACACGGCCCAGACUCCUACGGGAGGCAGCAGUGGGGAAUUUUGGACAAUGGGGGAAACCCUGAUCCAGCAAUGCCGCGUGUGCGAAGAAGGCCUUCGGGUUGUAAAGCACUUUUGUCAGGGAAGAAAUCCUUUGGGCUAAUACCCUAGGGGGAUGACGGUACCUGAAGAAUGAGCACCGGCUAACUACGUGCCAGCAGCCGCGGUAAUACGUAGGGUGCAAGCGUUAAUCGGAAUUACUGGGCGUAAAGCGUGCGCAGGCGGUUGUGUAAGACAGGUGUGAAAUCCCCGGGCUUAACCUGGGAAUUGCAUUUGUGACUGCACGACUAGAGUGUGUCAGAGGGGGGUGGAAUUCCGCGUGUAGCAGUGAAAUGCGUAGAUAUGUGGAGGAACACCAAUGGCGAAGGCAGCCCCCUGGGAUAACACUGACGCUCAUGCACGAAAGCGUGGGGAGCAAACAGGAUUAGAUACCCUGGUAGUCCACGCCCUAAACGAUGUCAACUAGUUGUUGGGGAUUUACUUCCUUGGUAACGUAGCUAACGCGUGAAGUUGACCGCCUGGGGAGUACGGCCGCAAGGUUAAAACUCAAAGGAAUUGACGGGGACCCGCACAAGCGGUGGAUGAUGUGGAUUAAUUCGAUGCAACGCGAAAAACCUUACCUACCCUUGACAUGGCAGGAACUUUCCAGAGAUGGAUUGGUGCUCGAAAGAGAACCUGCACACAGGUGCUGCAUGGCUGUCGUCAGCUCGUGUCGUGAGAUGUUGGGUUAAGUCCCGCAACGAGCGCAACCCUUGUCAUUAGUUGCUACGAAAGGGCACUCUAAUGAGACUGCCGGUGACAGACCGGAGGAAGGUGGGGAUGACGUCAAGUCCUCAUGGCCCUUAUGGGUAGGGCUUCACACGUCAUACAAUGGUCGGUACAGAGGGUUGCCAAGCCGCGAGGUGGAGCCAAUCCCAGAAAACCGAUCGUAGUCCGGAUCGCAGUCUGCAACUCGACUGCGUGAAGUCGGAAUCGCUAGUAAUCGCGGAUCAGAAUGCCGCGGUGAAUACGUUCCCGGGUCUUGUACACACCGCCCGUCACACCAUGGGAGUGGGUUCUACCAGAAGUGGCUAGUCUAACCGCAAGGAGGACGGUCACCACGGUAGGAUUCAUGACUGGGGUGAAGUCGUAACAAGGUAACC
This 1491-nucleotide ribosomal RNA is filed under the name uncultured bacterium. RNAcentral describes it as "bacterial SSU rRNA". It matches the Rfam family "Bacterial small subunit ribosomal RNA". The record is from RNAcentral.